GUUAAUGAUGAUGCAACGCAAACUCCUCCUAUCUGCUCCUGUUGGGCUGUUGCCUUUAUCAACACAAGACAAAGUGGACACUGAGAUUGACCUCUGCGACGCCCCCCUGUGGACGCUCUUUGUAUCACCAGGAACUACUGGGCAUUACAUAUUGUUACCUUGGGUGCCCCCCUCUGCUAUAUACAAUUUUGACAAUGCACGUGGAGUGAUGCCUUAACAACAGUAUGGCAGUGGGAGUCUCUGAGGACACAUCUGUGCAACCUUAUUUUGAACCGGAGUUGGACCUGGAACAAGAAGACGGCCGCAAAGAAGGCUUAAACUUUACGCUAAGAAUUCAUGACAGGAGAAGUUGGUGGGAAAAGGUCUUCAAGGGCUUAUAACUUUCUCGGGGUCAAUCUGCUCGGAAAUCAGAAAUGGAUAUUUAUUUUU
This is a non-coding RNA of Pimephales promelas (fathead minnow), 429 nucleotides long. The record is from RefSeq and is a predicted model, not a curated record. Lineage: Eukaryota; Metazoa; Chordata; Actinopteri; Cypriniformes; Leuciscidae.